RNAcentral lists this long non-coding RNA (511 nucleotides) under Mustela putorius furo (domestic ferret). RNAcentral describes it as "lncRNA (ENSMPUG00000026279.1)". Lineage: Eukaryota; Metazoa; Chordata; Mammalia; Carnivora; Mustelidae. The record is from RNAcentral.
CAACUUGUUGACCAUGAUGUCAGACCCUCCAGUUCUGGUCUAGCCAUCCAUGACCUCAGGCCUGCCUUUCACCUUGACUGUAACCUUGUGAAAGAUCCGGGAUCCACAAGCUAGAAAUAGCCACUCAAGGGACCAGCAUCCAGGUCAACCAAGAGGACCUCCAGGCUGUGAUUCAGAGGCAGGAAAUCCACCCCCCACCCCAGGGUGGAACUGCCAGCAUAUUUUGCUGGGACUUUGCCAGCCGUCUGUCCACUAUUUGAUCCCUAGAUGCUAUGUCUUAUCCUGGGGCAUGCUGCAUAGCCAUAUCCCUCCAAGGCCCUGCUGUUCUCUGGUCGCCGAACUCUCUGCCAGGCAGGAACAGCUUCAAGCGUUUGAUGCUACUGGAUUCAUUUCUCUGCUAGGUAAGUGUAUGAGGGGGAGUUAGCUAAAUUGCCAAGAGGAUGUUAUUAUUUUUCAAAACACUUUUCAUUAAGGAAUAUUUUAAGCACACAGCAGUGGAGAGGAGAGUAUA